Molecule: ribosomal RNA, 255 nt
Filed under: uncultured bacterium
Lineage: Bacteria
Description: partial 16S ribosomal RNA
Rfam family: Bacterial small subunit ribosomal RNA
Source: RNAcentral
UACGUAGGGUGCAAGCGUUAAUCGGAAUUACUGGGCGUAAAGCGUGCGCAGGCGGUUAUGUAAGACAGAUGUGAAAUGCCCGGGCUUAACCUGGGAACUGCAUUUGUGACUGCAUGGCUAGAGUUUGGCAGAGGGGGGGUAGAAUUCCACGUGUAGCAGUGAAAUGCGUAGAUAUGUGGAGGAACACCGAUGGCGAAGGCAGCCCCCCUGGGUCAAGACUGACGCUCAUGCACGAAAGCGUGGGGAGCAAACAGG